GUUGCUCUCAAGGCUCCAUCGUCUGCACUGGCCGGGAUCAUAGCGAGAUGUCAGGCACCUAAUGCACAUGUGGACACCUACAUUUAGAUCCCACUUCUUCCUGCCCAUUGUUGUACCUGUCUUCAGAAAAACAUCACAUAGCUGGUUGGCCUGGAAUACUUCGGCAUACAAGAUUUCAGCUCACGAAAAUGAGCUUCAAGUCAAAACCAGGGAGCAAGCAAGGCCCCAUCUUCCCUGAUCCUCCAUGCCCCCUAACAGCCAAGGGCCUGAUGACCAUGCAGUGCAGGAUGUUCAAGCGCAAAUCCUGGUUCUUGCUGAUUGACAGCGGGAUUUCAACCUCCGUCUCCCCAUCCCAGGUGAGUGCCACGUACACUUUGGGCUGUGAGUGUCUCUCCCUUUCUGAGGUUUUCAGGAGCAAUGCUAGAAAGGCUCCCAUUUUGUGUUGUAACACAGACAUUUCUGCACCCUUGGAAAUUUUCCUGGGAAGAAAGGACCAUUCCUCCUUCCCCAUUAAUACAUGAGAAACAGAAUCUUUUUCUUGGAGCAGGUGCCUCCGGAGCCCAGUGGGGACACUCCAGAAAUAAGCCAGGCUUCCUAUACAAAAUGACAGGCUCUGACCUGACCAUCAUGACUUAGGAAUCCUUCAGCUCUCCAAGGAUCACCUCACCUACCAGCACCUCCGAGCCCAUCGACACACGGACAAACCACACACGGCCCAGCACAGCCCUCCGUGUGUGCAGAGGAGCCCUCCGGCCCCAGGACCCAUGCCUGGGGCAGAGCUGAGGUGUUUGCAGGGCAACAGCUUGGCAGGGGUUAAUCUCCAUAGAGCUGGUGGGGUGGAUCUCAUCUGUAAAGUGCCAGGGCUGCUUUAUGGGAACCAUUUAAGCAAUUAAUAAACCUGGAUGUUAACCUGACA
This 916-nucleotide long non-coding RNA is filed under the name Struthio camelus australis. Its description in RNAcentral is "lncRNA (ENSSCUG00000001406.1)". Lineage: Eukaryota; Metazoa; Chordata; Aves; Struthioniformes; Struthionidae. The record is from RNAcentral.